ACAUUCUUAAAUUAAGAAUUAAGAAAAACAUUUCAAAGGAAUCGGAUUUUAAAAUAAUAGUCCAUUCUAUUGGCGGACUUGUUACUAUGCUUAUAAGUCACGAACGGCUGGUCUGGUUUUUACAAUUCACACUAUUUCGGAAUGGUCUCGUGGCCGGGAAAGGAUAAAAUCAAAAAUAUCACUUAAAAAUACGCUAAGAAAAAUGGCGAAUUCAAAAUAUAUUUUGACAGAAAACUUGGUCGUCAGAUGGUCUUACUGGCCGACCUUAUAUAGGCCUUGGGCCAUGGUACCAUGGUCGGAACUUGAUAUGUCAAAAUUGUAAGCAAGGCGAAUUUACUUGACACAUAAAAUUUGAGUCAAAUUGUUUUGCACCAAUCAGAACAUUUCAUUUUGAAACAUUGAGUAAUUUUGCUGUGUUAUUAUUUACUUUUAAAAAAUAUAUUUUUUUGCAAGGAAAUUUUGUUUAAAAGCAAACAAAAAGUCGAAGACCCGAAAUAAGGCAAGAAACCAAGAAACAAUCCCUAAAAAUGAGUAUAAAUUGCAAUAACUGCUACUCCAAAUAAUUGAUUUUCUGUGGAUGUAUAAAAAAUCUAUAUUCGUUCAACACACCAAUCCUUCAACACAUCGAUUUUUAAAGAAAAUUUCCGGUUCCCGAAUUAUGGAUUUUUGAAGAACAUUCUGGGCUUUUUUUAGAAAGCAUAUUUGCAUAUCUCAUAUUGGAAUUUUUUGAUUUUUUUAGACCUAAAUUAUUUAUUAUUAUUUUUGAAAUGAGAAACAUUUUUUUAUCUCAAAGUCUUAAAGCAUUACUCUAUCAAUAAAAGUGCAUGCCAAAUAUUA
Long non-coding RNA from Musca domestica (house fly), 837 nucleotides. RefSeq lists it as uncharacterized. The record is from RefSeq and is a predicted model, not a curated record. The transcript has 3 exons. Lineage: Eukaryota; Metazoa; Arthropoda; Insecta; Diptera; Muscidae.